CGAACGGGUGAGUAAUGCGUGACCAACCUGCCCCAUGCUCCAGAAUAGCUCUUGGAAACGGGUGGUAAUGCUGGAUGCUCCAACUUGACGCAUGUCUUGUUGGGAAAGUGUUUAGUGGCAUGGGAUGGGGUCGCGUCCUAUCAGCUUGUAGGCGGGGUAAUGGCCCACCUAGGCUUCGACGGGUAGCCGGCCUGAGAGGGCGGACGGCCACAUUGGGACUGAGAUACGGCCCAGACUCCUACGGGAGGCAGGAGGC
RNAcentral lists this ribosomal RNA (256 nucleotides) under uncultured Gardnerella sp. Its description in RNAcentral is "partial 16S ribosomal RNA". It matches the Rfam family "Bacterial small subunit ribosomal RNA", at positions 99 to 354 of the family's 1533-position model. Lineage: Bacteria; Bacillati; Actinomycetota; Actinomycetes; Bifidobacteriales; Bifidobacteriaceae. The record is from RNAcentral.